RNAcentral lists this ribosomal RNA (450 nucleotides) under Pseudomonas sp. SCN1260. RNAcentral describes it as "bacterial SSU rRNA". It matches the Rfam family "Bacterial small subunit ribosomal RNA", at positions 122 to 567 of the family's 1533-position model. The record is from RNAcentral. Lineage: Bacteria; Pseudomonadati; Pseudomonadota; Gammaproteobacteria; Pseudomonadales; Pseudomonadaceae.
GAAUCUGCCUGGUAGUGGGGGAUAACGUUCGGAAACGGACGCUAAUACCGCAUACGUCCUACGGGAGAAAGCAGGGGACCUUCGGGCCUUGCGCUAUCAGAUGAGCCUAGGUCGGAUUAGCUAGUUGGUGGGGUAAUGGCUCACCAAGGCGACGAUCCGUAACUGGUCUGAGAGGAUGAUCAGUCACACUGGAACUGAGACACGGUCCAGACUCCUACGGGAGGCAGCAGUGGGGAAUAUUGGACAAUGGGCGAAAGCCUGAUCCAGCCAUGCCGCGUGUGUGAAGAAGGUCUUCGGAUUGUAAAGCACUUUAAGUUGGGAGGAAGGGUUGUAGAUUAAUACUCUGCAAUUUUGACGUUACCGACAGAAUAAGCACCGGCUAACUCUGUGCCAGCAGCCGCGGUAAUACAGAGGGUGCAAGCGUUAAUCGGAAUUACUGGGCGUAAAGCG